This 22-nucleotide microRNA is filed under the name Physcomitrium patens. Its description in RNAcentral is "ppt-miR536c". Its record names the gene ppt-miR536c. The record is from miRBase by way of RNAcentral. Lineage: Eukaryota; Viridiplantae; Streptophyta; Bryopsida; Funariales; Funariaceae.
AUCGUGCCAAGCUUUGUGCUUU